CGCGAGUACUGGUCCGGCUGGAGCUUUCCUUCUGGGGAACCUCAUGGCCUUCACUGGCUGUGGGGGGAACCAGGACUUUUACUGUGAAAAAAUUAGAGUGUUCAAAGCAGGCCUUUGCUCGAAUACAUUAGCAUGGAAUAAUAGAAUAGGACGUGCGGUUCUAUUUUGUUGGUUUCUAGGACCGCCGUAAUGAUUAAUAGGGAUAGUCGGGGGCGUCAGUAUUCAGCUGUCAGAGGUGAAAUUCUUGGAUUUGCUGAAGACUAACUACUGCGAAAGCAUUCGCCAAGGAUGUUUUCAUUAAUCAGGGAACGAAAGUUAGGGGAUCGAAGACGAUCAGAUACCGUCGUAGUCUUAACCAUAAACUAUGCCGACUAGGGAUCGGACGGGAUUCUAUUAUGACCCGUUCGGCACCUUACGAGAAAUCAAAGUUUUUGGGUUCUGGGGGGAGUAUGGUCGCAAGGCUGAAACUUAAAGAAAUUGACGGAAGGGCACCACAAGGCGUGGAGCCUGCGGCUUAAUUUGACUCAACACGGGGAAACUCACCAGGUCCAGACAAAAUAAGGAUUGACAGAUUGAGAGCUCUUUCUUGAUCUUUUGGAUGGUGGUGCAUGGCCGUUCUUAGUUGGUGGAGUGAUUUGUCUGCUUAAUUGCGAUAACGAACGAGACCUCGGCCCUUAAAUAGCCCGGUCCGCAUUUGCGGGCCGCUGGCUUCUUAGGGGGACUAUCGGCUCAAGCCGAUGGAAGUGCGCGGCAAUAACAGGUCUGUGAUGCC
This 772-nucleotide ribosomal RNA is filed under the name Penicillium sp. D3-DF09. Its description in RNAcentral is "SSU rRNA". It matches the Rfam family "Eukaryotic small subunit ribosomal RNA", at positions 674 to 1471 of the family's 1831-position model. Lineage: Eukaryota; Fungi; Ascomycota; Eurotiomycetes; Eurotiales; Aspergillaceae. The record is from RNAcentral.